ACUUCAAUGCAAAAAUACUUCACUUGUGAUUAAUAUCAUUUAUAAUGCAUGCAAAAUCAUCAAAGAAUUACUCAACCAAGAAGCACGUAAUUACUCGGUAUCAAGACAAUUUAUCUAACGAUCGCACGUGUGAAGAUAAAUCUAAUUAAUUGUGUUUAUCAUUUUUUCAUCAAAGUCGAUAAUGAUUAUAAUUAGCAGACUGGUGACCAGACACCAUGACCUCUUGUCACUCAACGGAUCAUCUAAGUUUAACAUGGUCUCACUAUGAUGAUCUCUUAGAAAAUUGCAGAUAAACAAGCAGCAACUGGGAGCGAAGAAGCAGGAAAAACAAAAGAGUACAAGAGUUUACGACGCCGUUCACAUCCUUGUCACAUCUGAUUGGAUGAUAAGCAAUUAACUGCAAAUUGUGUACAAAAUCACGUAAAAUUUUGAUUUAAUAUUUAUUAUUUUCAACAAGUGGACAAAAUAGGAAGUAUAAAAAAAAGUAAUAAGUA
Dalotia coriaria is the source of this 494-nucleotide long non-coding RNA. RefSeq lists it as uncharacterized. The record is from RefSeq and is a predicted model, not a curated record. The transcript is spliced from 2 exons. NCBI's taxonomy places the organism in Eukaryota, Metazoa, Arthropoda, Insecta, Coleoptera, Staphylinidae.